This 653-nucleotide ribosomal RNA is filed under the name uncultured Smithella sp. Its description in RNAcentral is "bacterial SSU rRNA". It matches the Rfam family "Bacterial small subunit ribosomal RNA", at positions 28 to 657 of the family's 1533-position model. Lineage: Bacteria; Pseudomonadati; Thermodesulfobacteriota; Syntrophia; Syntrophales; Smithellaceae. The record is from RNAcentral.
AACUAACGCUGGCGGCGUGCUUAACACAUGCAAGUCGCACGAGAAAGGGUCCUUCGGGACCUGAGUAAAGUGGCGCACGGGUGAGUAACGCGUGGAUAAUCUGCCCCUCAGUUGGGAAUAACUCAUCGAAAGGUGGGCUAAUACCGAAUAAUACUGUGAGACUUUGGUCGAUCAGUCAAAGAGAGCCUCUGCUUGCAAGCCCUCGCUGAAGGAUGAGUCCGCGUACCAUUAGCUUGUUGGCAGGGUAAUGGCCUACCAAGGCGACGAUGGUUAGCUGGUCUGAGAGGAUGAUCAGCCACACUGGAACUGAGACACGGUCCAGACUCCUACGGGAGGCAGCAGUGAGGAAUCUUGCGCAAUGGGGGCAACCCUGACGCAGCAACGCCGCGUGAGUGAGGAAGGUCUUCGGAUCGUAAAGCUCUGUCAGUUGGGAAGAACUACCUAAGGGUAAAUAUCUCUUAGGCUUGACGGUACCAACAGAGGAAGCACCGGCUAACUCCGUGCCAGCAGCCGCGGUAAUACGGGGGGUGCAAGCGUUGUUCGGAAUUAUUGGGCGUAAAGAGCGUGUAGGCGGCCUGAUGUGUCAGAUGUGAAAGCCCUGGGCUUAACCCAGGAAGUGCAUUUGAAACUGUCAGGCUUGAGUAUGGGAGAGG